This 3097-nucleotide long non-coding RNA is filed under the name Nicotiana benthamiana. Its description in RNAcentral is "long non-coding RNA (NBEN_LNC011478)". The stretch from base 1177 to 1266 matches the Rfam family "Small nucleolar RNA snoR109". Lineage: Eukaryota; Viridiplantae; Streptophyta; Magnoliopsida; Solanales; Solanaceae. The record is from RNAcentral.
CUCUCUUUCCUUCUUACUAAGCACGAUCUUAAAAAAUUUCUAUAUCGCUUCAUCUCCUUACUCUUAAUAUUUCAGGUAAAAUUCAUAUUUAACUUUGAAAUUUAUAGGCCUCAAGAAAGUAACUCUCAAGAACAAAGACACAAAAGGGGCAACAACCAACGAGCAAACUCCUUUGGAAAACCAUGACUACCAUGGACUGAUGGUCACAGAUGUAGAAAAAACCACUAGAAAAAUUACUUCACAUUUUCAUGGUUUUUUGAUCUUUAACAAAACUUACCCCACUAAUAGAUAUGUUUAUUUAGCUGUUCUAAACAAAAAUUCUUCUCCAUCUUAUCCUAUGCUCUCUGCUUUGCCAUAAAGGGGAGAAGGGUAAAUAGGGUUUUGGGGGGUGCUUACGUUAGGAAGGAGGGGGAUAAGAAGAUGGGAAAACGGGGGACAAGGAAGGGCGAUUGGGAUCUGCUUGGGUUGGGCAAUUAUUUUACUUUUUUUAAUUAUUUUGCGCUUUACUUUUUAUGGUUAUUUUUUAAUGUUUUUAAAUAAAAAUUAAUACAUUCGCUCUUCUUUUUAGAGGGUGUAACUAUUCAUUUUUUUGACUCACCAAAAUAAAUGACACAUAAGCUCAGUCAAUGAUUAGAGGAGUCUAAGACAUGUUUUGCAACAAUGUUCUAAUAUUAGUACAGUAUGUCAAUAUCUACUCAAGAUUCCCUUAUUAUUCUGGUUGCUUACUUUUUUGAGCUUAGGAGUUGGAUGAUCUUUCUUGUUAUACAUAAUUUGAUCUCUGGCAUAUGCAUUAUAAAAUGAUCCACUUGUAUUAUUUUGUCAACAUUCUUUUUCUGUUUGCUUUUACUAAGAAUUAUAAUUUUCUUUUAUUUGAUUGAAACGUGUAUCCCGGAAAGCUGUAACAAAAUUUUAUGCAUAUGUAGUUGCAGGUAUUAUGUGUUGGCUUUGACAUUUUGGAUCUUUAACAGCAGCCUCCACUAGUUUGAUAUGUGUAGUAGAUGUACGUAACAAGUUCUCUUUUGUCUGGCGAACCAAGUCUAGUAUCUAAGUGGAGAAGGGUAGAUGGAUGGGCUCAUUAUCAUGAGUUUCAAAGUUGGUAACAACGGAUUUCUCGGUUCUUCCCAAAAGGAUCUUUAGUAGUGAUAUAAAGAAAAAACUACUCAUAGAUUGCCAAUGUGGUUGUAGCCACAUGAAUUCAAUUUGGGAAGUUUACUGCCGGUUUUUGUUCUGAUGUCGAAGUAUCUGCUUAUCGAACUUCUUACAUUUUCCAUGCUAGUUGUAAUUCACUUGUUCUAGACUGUUGUAUGAGAAGGGGAGAAGAAGGAAAUGGCAUAGAAUUUAGCUUUUUCAAGAUGCGCUUCUCUAAAACCAGUUAUUUCUUCACUUUCCAGGCUCACUGCUUUGACUUCCAGCAGUUUGCGUCUAUAGGUGCAUACAAUAAACCACUAUAGUAUUCUCUUUUUCUGUUGUGUUUUGCGUACUUUUAGCCGAGGUUCUAUCGGAAACAACCUCUCUAUCUCCCAGGGCAGGGGUAAGGUCUCUGCGUAUGCACUACCCUCCCAAACCCCACUUGUGAGAAUUCACUGGGUUGUUGUUGUUAUGUUUAUAUAGUGCAACUUGUAUCUGAUGAUGUAAUUUGAUAGUCAACCUGUUAGAAAGAAGCUUACAAGGAUUUCAAUGCAUAAGAUGCGUCUUGUGAUGAAUGCUUGUGUUCCUUCUGAUAUGUCGAAAAAUUGUUCCUUUCUUGAGUUUCAUCAGACCUAGCAGCAUUGAAUGCUUGUGUUCUUUGGUCUAUCCUUACAAGUUCUCCUACAGUCCCCAAGUAAUAGACCAGGAUUUUCCUUUUUGAGCUUUUUUUUGGGUCCAUUUUGCUCUCCAACUCAGUGAGACUACUAUGCCCCAUUCCUUCAAACUGCUAUCACUUCCUCAGUCAAUACUAUAAUAUCUUGUUGUCUUAUUUUUAUGCAUUGUCUUCAUUUUUUUCCCUGUCUAAUCUUAUAGACGUUGUUCAGGAUUCAAAUUUUGGAUAGCUUAUCCUUAGAUCACAAGGCCCGAGAAACAACGGAUCGAUUACUCCUACUCCGAUGCUUCUAAGUUUUGAUGUUUCUGUUGAGGUAAAAGUAGCCUGCUUAAUCCGUUUCAUUUGCUGGUUUUACUUUGACCUUUUUUAUUGCUUUAUUAUCCAAAAGAGUAAUCCUUUAGAGUAGUUGAUACUGUUUGUUCUGGUAAAAAGUUCAUCGUUUUGUUGUUAAUGUGGACUUAGUAGAGAACCUGUGUUGAUUAUUUUAGUUUACUGCUUACAGUACUAUGCAAGAAUGCAACAAACUUCUUUGAGGCAAUGUAGUAAAGACAAAUAUAUCAGUACCAUCAACAAAAACCAAAAAAAUAACAACUGCGAUAUAAUAACCAGAAAAUAGAUGAAAAGACAAUAACAAUAACAAAUAAAUAAGACCCGAUACCAUGGAAAUAAUUGGUGCUAUGAUGUUUCCUCUUUUAUCAGCAUUGGUGGAAUCUUAGCAAAUUAAUAUAAGUGAUUGUAUUAGUGUAUAGAUCUAUGGUUCGUCAAGCAAUCUUCUUUGCCUUCCAUGAACUCAUCAAUUUGUCCAAUAGUACAGGGCUAAGGUUCUCUUCCCUGAAUUUUCACUGAUGGUUUUACCUUGUAUAUAUAUAUUAAAAACAACAACAACAACUACCUAGUUACUAACACUUAGUUACUAACAUAUAUAUAUAUUAAAAAGAUUCACUAAAUUAUAUACACCUAGUUACUAACACUUGAUGUCGCAAUACUAGGAUUUAGAACCCAUAUAGUUCAAAUCCUGGCUUCACCCCUCUUUGAUUGUUUAGGGCCUUCAAUCCAAACCAAGAUCGUAUUCUUCUAUUCAUGUUUUCAUUUGCUCCAUAUUAAUUUAACUAGUGUUUUAUAUUCUGCAACAGAUUUUUCUGCAGAGUUAUUUAGGAAAGUUACUGUCUUCAUGAGAGGAGAAAGCUGGAGCCUGAUCUUGCAAUAAUAUCACUGCUUCUUAAUUGUAGUAGAAACUACUAAAAUGUACCAGUGAAUCACCUUAGAAAUUACUACAACUUAAAUUUUUUAUUUUUU